RNAcentral lists this ribosomal RNA (300 nucleotides) under Vibrio parahaemolyticus. RNAcentral describes it as "partial 23S ribosomal RNA". It matches the Rfam family "Bacterial large subunit ribosomal RNA", at positions 2649 to 2925 of the family's 2925-position model. The record is from RNAcentral. Lineage: Bacteria; Pseudomonadati; Pseudomonadota; Gammaproteobacteria; Vibrionales; Vibrionaceae.
GGGCGUUGGAAGAUUGAAGGGGGCUGCUCCUAGUACGAGAGGACCGGAGUGGACGAACCUCUGGUGUUCGGGUUGUGUCGCCAGACGCAUUGCCCGGUAGCUAAGUUCGGAAUCGAUAACCGCUGAAAGCAUCUAAGCGGGAAGCGAGCCCUGAGAUGAGUCUUCCCUGAUACUUUAAGUAUCCUAAAGGGUUGUCGGAGACUACGACGUUGAUAGGUCAGGUGUGUAAGUGCUGUGAGGCAUUGAGCUAACUGAUACUAAUUGCCCGUGAGGCUUAACCAUACAACACCCAAGGGGUUU